AAGAAAGUGACAGAGUGGCCAUGUGAUUGGCUUGAAACCAAUGUAUGGAGGUUCAACUCCUCCCUUUCUCG
This 71-nucleotide transfer RNA is filed under the name Brachyistius frenatus (kelp perch). Its description in RNAcentral is "tRNA-Ser". It matches the Rfam family "tRNA". Rfam says of the family: Transfer RNA (tRNA) molecules are approximately 80 nucleotides in length. Lineage: Eukaryota; Metazoa; Chordata; Actinopteri; Embiotocidae. The record is from RNAcentral.